This 218-nucleotide ribosomal RNA is filed under the name uncultured bacterium. RNAcentral's name for it is "partial 16S ribosomal RNA". It matches the Rfam family "Bacterial small subunit ribosomal RNA", at positions 328 to 539 of the family's 1533-position model. The record is from RNAcentral.
ACGCUCGACACCUACGGGGGGCAGCAGUGAGGAAUAUUGGUCAAUGGGCGCUAGCCUGAACCAGCCAAGUAGCGUGAAGGACGAAGGCUCUAUGGGUCGUAAACUUCUUUUAUAUAAGAAUAAAGUGCAGUAUGUAUACUGUUUUGUAUGUAUUAUAUGAAUAAGGAUCGGCUAACUCCGUGCCAGCAGCCGCGGUAAUCUGAGCGGGCUGGCAAGGC